RNAcentral lists this ribosomal RNA (482 nucleotides) under uncultured bacterium. Its description in RNAcentral is "partial 16S ribosomal RNA". It matches the Rfam family "Bacterial small subunit ribosomal RNA", at positions 28 to 507 of the family's 1533-position model. The record is from RNAcentral.
GACGAACGCUGGCGGCGUGCUUAACACAUGCAAGUCGAACGAUGAAGAAGAGAAACGUGAACUUCGGUUCAAAUUUCACUUCGGAUUAGUGGCAGACGGGUGAGUAACGCGUGAGCAACCUACCUCUUACAAAGGGAUAGCCUCGGGAAACCGUGAUUAAUACCAUAUGACACAUUCAUAAGGCAUCUUAAGAAUGUUAAAGCUACGGCGGUAAGAGAUGGGCUCGCGUCCCAUUAGCUAGUUGGUGAGGUAACGGCCCACCAAGGCGACGAUGGGUAACCGGGCUGAGAGGGUGAACGGUCACAUUGGAACUGAGACACGGUCCAAACUCCUACGGGAGGCAGCAGUGGGGAAUAUUGCACAAUGGAGGGAACUCUGAUGCAGCGACGCCGCGUGAGCGAUGAAGGAAUUCGUUUCGUAAAGCUCUGUUCUAUGGGAAGAAAAGGACUGUACCAUAGGAGAAAGCCCCGGCUAAAUACGUG